UCCCAGGUAAUCGUCCAUAUAGUGGUUGC
Molecule: non-coding RNA, 29 nt
Filed under: Bombyx mori (domestic silkworm)
Lineage: Eukaryota; Metazoa; Arthropoda; Insecta; Lepidoptera; Bombycidae
Source: RNAcentral